AGUGCGACUUGAUUGCGUGGCGAUGGGCGGAUGUGAGAGAGGAAUGCCUGAGAUUCUGUGAGGUGAUGGAGGCUAGGCCGUCAACUGUUGUUGUGUAAAUUGCUCGUUUAAAGGUAUUAGAUUUCAUGACGCAUUGGUUACGACUGUAAUGUUAUGUAAAUAUGUUUGAAAUAAAUAAAUAAAU
Molecule: long non-coding RNA, 184 nt
Organism: Cydia amplana
Lineage: Eukaryota; Metazoa; Arthropoda; Insecta; Lepidoptera; Tortricidae
Exons: 2
Source: RefSeq, a predicted model, not a curated record